AGCAGCCGCGGUAAUUCCAGCUCCAAUAGCGUAUAUUAAAGUUGUUGCAGUUAAAAAGCUCGUAGUUGAACCUUGGGCCUGGCUGGCCGGUCCGCCUCACCGCGUGUACUGGUCCGGCCGGGUCUUUCCCUCUGUGGAACCCCAUGCCCUUCACUGGGUGUGGCGGGGAAACAGGACUUUUACUUUGAAAAAAUUAUAGUGCUCCAGGCAGGCCUAUGCUCUAAUACAUUAUCAUGGAAUAAUGAAAUAGGACGUGCGGUUCUAUUUUGUUGGUUUCUAGGACCGCCGUAAUGAUUAAUAGGGACAGUCGGGGGCAUCAGUAUUCAAUUGUCAGAAGUGAAAUUCUUGGAUUUAUUGAAGACUAACUACUGCGAAAGCAUUUGCCAAGGAUGUUUUCAUUAAUCAGGGAACGAAAGUUAGGGGAUCGAAGACGAUCAGAUACCGUCGUAUCUUAACCAUAAACUAUGCCGACUAGGGAUCGGAUGAUGUUAAUUUUAUAAUGACUCA
This 507-nucleotide ribosomal RNA is filed under the name Metarhizium owariense. Its description in RNAcentral is "SSU rRNA". It matches the Rfam family "Eukaryotic small subunit ribosomal RNA", at positions 569 to 1078 of the family's 1831-position model. Lineage: Eukaryota; Fungi; Ascomycota; Sordariomycetes; Hypocreales; Clavicipitaceae. The record is from RNAcentral.